RNAcentral lists this ribosomal RNA (443 nucleotides) under uncultured bacterium. RNAcentral describes it as "partial 16S ribosomal RNA". It matches the Rfam family "Bacterial small subunit ribosomal RNA", at positions 338 to 795 of the family's 1533-position model. The record is from RNAcentral.
CCUACGGGUGACAGCAGUGGGGAAUAUUGGGCAAUGGGCGCAAGCCUGACCCAGCAACGCCGCGUGAAGGAAGAAGGCCCUCGGGUUGUAAACUUCUUUUGUCAGGGACGAACCAAAUGUCGGUACCUCACGAAUAAGCCACGGCUAACUACGUGCCAGCAGCCGCGGUAAUACGGAGGUGGCAAGCGUUAUCCGGAGUUACUGGGUGUAAAGGGCGGGUAGGCGGGAGAGCAAGUCAGAUGUGAAAUUCCUGGGCUCAACGCUGGAACUGCAUUUGAAACUGUUUGUCUGGAGUGAUGGAGAGGCAGGCGGAAUUCCGGGUGUAGCGGUGAAAUGCGUAGAUAUACGGAGGAACACCAGUGGCGAAGGCGGCGUGCUGGACAUUAACUGACGCUGAGGCGCGAAAGCGUGGGGAGCAAACAGGAUUAGAUACCCUGGUAGUC